RNAcentral lists this non-coding RNA (1146 nucleotides) under Pan troglodytes (chimpanzee). The record is from RNAcentral. Lineage: Eukaryota; Metazoa; Chordata; Mammalia; Primates; Hominidae.
CAACCCAGCGGCCGCUCACCUGUUCCAGCCGCCGCAGCCUCGGCGGUCACACGCCGCCCGCCCGCCCAGACCUCCCCUCCUCUGUCCCCAGAGCGCACGACGCCGCGGGGACAGCUUCCCGAGCGCCUUCCCCGUCCCGCUUCUCUCCAGCCCACCGCAGCCCCCUUUCUUCCCAGCUCCCCCACUCCGUGGGCGCCCACACUGCACCUUCGCCGGCUGCGUGCGUCCCGCCUCGGUGCCCUCACUCGGUCCUCCUGAGCCGCCUUCCCUUUCAUACCCAGCCCGUAGAAUUGUCCCUGGGUCUUAACAACUCAUUUGUAACUGAUCCAGGUCUCCUCCCUCUGCUUCCUCAAACCCAGGCUUCGCUGCCUCUGCGGAGUUCUUACCUGUCUCUCCUUUCCACCCGGGUUCCCUGGAGGAAGCUAAACUCAGACCAAGGCCCUGGGCUCCCCAGGAGUUAAAAGGGAAUACGCUGUCCCAAGAUUCUAGAAUGAAGAGUCAACAUAGCCCGAGUGGCUUAAACCUCCUGUCCUUAAAUGCAAGAAAUGUUUUCUAUCGAGCCCUGCCUGGACAGGUGUCUCUGCUGGCCUGGGGUUUUCAACAGGUCAUGCCUGCCUCAGACCCCAGGGACAAAUGUUCUUCCAGCUCUAACUCAUUCUAUGCUUUAAGCUUUUGACCUAUCUUUGUUUUCCCAGUGCCACACCAAAUGCUGCCUGGGGAUCUCUCUUUCUUCCUGAGUUCCCAUAUAAGAAGCCCCCCAUUUAAGAAUUCAGUUGGAAUGGGUUGUAUUUCAAAAGUUGCUUUGCAAGUUAGUUAUUUGGAUUUCAAGUUGCAUUUUUCCAGGGUAACAAUAUUAUAAUGAUUGUUUACCUUCCCAGACCAAUCCAGAAAUGCCCACAUAACCCAUGUCACACCUGAUUCCAACCUGAGUUCUUCUAUCCUUGAACCUCUCAAGCUUUCCCCUAACUCUAAGCAGGUCUCAUGGUCCACUCAAGGUGUUUCAUGCUUCUCAGUUACGUCCCCUUCCCACUGCUGUCUACCCUCUCUCCAAACACAGCACAAAACAAACCCACAACAGUUCUGUUAAUUCCUGAAGUAAACCCAACCCAGCAAGGUGUUGAGAGGAAAUAAAUCUUACUGAACACA